CUUAGUGGCGGACGGGUGAGUAACACGUGAGCAACCUGCCUUUGAGAGAGGGAUAGCUUCUGGAAACGGAUGGUAAUACCUCAUGACAUAAUUGAAGGGCAUCCUUUGAUUAUCAGAGAUUUAUCACUCAAAGAUGGGCUCGCGUCUGAUUAGAUAGUUGGUGAGGUAACGGCUCACCAAGUCGACGAUCAGUAGCCGGACUGAGAGGUUGAACGGCCACAUUGGGACUGAGACACGGCCCAGACUCCUACGGGAGGCAGCAGUGGGGAAUAUUGCACAAUGGGGGAAACCCUGAUGCAGCGAUGCCGCGUGGAGGAAGAAGGUUUUCGGAUUGUAAACUCCUGUCUUAAAGGACGAUAAUGACGGUACUUUAGGAGGAAGCUCCGGCUAACUACGUGCCAGCAGCCGCGGUAAUACGUAGGGAGCGAGCGUUGUCCGGAAUUACUGGGUGUAAAGGGAGCGUAGGCGGGAUUGCAAGUCAGAUGUGAAAUACAUGGGCUCAACCCAUGGGCUGCAUUUGAAACUGUAGUUCUUGAGUGAAGUAGAGGUAAGUGGAAUUCCCAGUGUAGCGGUGAAAUGCGUAGAUAUUGGGAGGAACACCAGUGGCGAAGGCGGCUUACUGGACGAUGACUGACGUUGAGGCUCGAAAGCGUGGGGAGCAAACAGGAUUAGAUACCCUGGUAGUCCACGCCGUAAACGAUGACUACUAGGUGUCGGGGAGCAAAGUUUUUCGGGUGCCGCAGCAAACGCAUAAAGUAGUCCACCUGGGGAGACCGUUCCCAAGAAAUGAACUCCAAAGGAAUUGAGGGGGACCCGCACAAGCGGUGGAGCAUGUUGGUUUUAAUUCGAAGGCAACGCGAAGAACUUUACCUGCUCUUGACAUCCCGGUGACCGGCGUGUAAUGCGGCCUUUUCUUCGGAACACCGGGAGACAGGUGGUGCAUGGUUGUCGUCAGCUCGUGUCGUGAGAUGUUGGGUUAAGUCCCGCAACGAGCGCAACCCUUAUCUUCAGUAGCCAGCAUUUUGGAUGGGCACUCUGGAGAGACUGCCAGGGAUAACCUGGAGGAAGGUGGGGAUGACGUCAAAUCAUCAUGCCCCUUAUGAGCAGGGCUACACACGUGCUACAAUGGCGUAAACAAAGGGAAGCGAACCUGCGAGGGUAAGCAAAUCUCAAAAAUAACGUCUCAGUUCGGAUUGUAGUCUGCAACUCGACUACAUGAAGCUGCCAUCGAGGGUAAUCGCGAAUCAGCAUGUCGCGGUGAAUA
Molecule: ribosomal RNA, 1264 nt
Filed under: uncultured bacterium
Lineage: Bacteria
Description: bacterial SSU rRNA
Rfam family: Bacterial small subunit ribosomal RNA
Source: RNAcentral